UACGAAGGGGGCUAGCGUUGCUCGGAUUGACUGGGCUUAAAGGGCGCGUAGGCGGUUCGUACAGUCAGACGUGAAAUUCCUGGGCUCAACCUGGGGGCUGCGUUUGAUACGUGCGGACUUGAGUGCGGAAGAGGGUCGUGGAAUUCCCAGUGUAGAGGUGAAAUUCGUAGAUAUUGGGAAGAACACCGGUGGCGAAGGCGGCGACCUGGUCCGAUACUGACGCUGAGGCGCGAAAGCGUGGGGAGCAAACAGG
RNAcentral lists this ribosomal RNA (253 nucleotides) under uncultured bacterium. RNAcentral describes it as "partial 16S ribosomal RNA". It matches the Rfam family "Bacterial small subunit ribosomal RNA", at positions 524 to 776 of the family's 1533-position model. The record is from RNAcentral.